CGGCGGUUCCCGUCACCCCCGACCGCGAUGGUGCAUGGCGGGCACCCGGUUGGGGAAGUCAGCGCUCUCGACACCCCCUUUUUAUUUUUUUGCUGGGGCAAAAUCGGCUAUUCAAUGGUAGAACCUCCAACUACAUACCAAAAGCAUCCAAACCGCAGAGGGUAGAGUUAGGGCAUUUUAUUAGAGCCACCUCAACGUCCCAAGAGGGCUUCAACCGAGUUCAGGCAUCUCCAUUUAUCUUAUGCUGCCCACCAGUAAACAUCUUGGUUUACUAUUUCAGCUUGUCAAACAACAACAACAAAUGAACAACACCUGUAUUCUUCCUCUGACUCUGGAAAAGAUACAUAGAAAAUAAUGAAUUGUGACAACCAGGAUAGUAUGUGUUGCUGUAAUCUUAGAUGACUGCUUAUAUAAAGCUCUGAGGAGAGCAUCAUUCAUUUACAAUUACAUCGUAAAUACAAAUCCCUGAUGAAAGUCAACGUGUGCCUGCAAGCUACUUGGACUAGUAGAACUGGUGUGGUCAAAACACAUCACCAGUGAUGGUUCCAUAGCAGAUUUUCCCAACCCGUGCCU
This is a long non-coding RNA of Podarcis muralis (Common wall lizard), 573 nucleotides long. RefSeq lists it as uncharacterized. The record is from RefSeq and is a predicted model, not a curated record. Lineage: Eukaryota; Metazoa; Chordata; Lepidosauria; Squamata; Lacertidae.